CAGUCGCCACGGGAAUACGGAGGGGGCUAGCGUUGCUCGGAAUUACUGGGCGUAAAGCGCACGUAGGCGGCUUUGUAAGUUAGAGGUGAAAGCCUGGGGCUCAACUCCAGAAUUGCCUUUAAGACUGCAUCGCUUGAACGUCGGAGAGGUGAGUGGAAUUCCGAGUGUAGAGGUGAAAUUCGUAGAUAUUCGGAAGAACACCAGUGGCGAAGGCGGCUCACUGGACGACUGUUGACGCUGAGGUGCGAAAGCGUGGGGAGCAAACAGGAUUAGAUACCCCUGUAGUCCCUGUCUCUUAUAC
This 301-nucleotide ribosomal RNA is filed under the name uncultured bacterium. RNAcentral describes it as "partial 16S ribosomal RNA". It matches the Rfam family "Bacterial small subunit ribosomal RNA", at positions 509 to 807 of the family's 1533-position model. The record is from RNAcentral.